UGACAUGGCCCCAGGCUACUGGAGAC
RNAcentral lists this non-coding RNA (26 nucleotides) under Rattus norvegicus (Norway rat). The record is from RNAcentral. Lineage: Eukaryota; Metazoa; Chordata; Mammalia; Rodentia; Muridae.